RNAcentral lists this unclassified non-coding RNA (337 nucleotides) under soil metagenome. RNAcentral describes it as "partial contains 5.8S ribosomal RNA, internal transcribed spacer 2, and large subunit ribosomal RNA". The stretch from base 1 to 120 matches the Rfam family "5.8S ribosomal RNA", at positions 35 to 154 of the family's 154-position model. The record is from RNAcentral.
GAUGAAGAACGUAGCGAAAUGCGAUAAGUAAUGUGAAUUGCAGAAUUCAGUGAAUCAUCGAAUCUUUGAACGCACAUUGCGCCCCUUGGUAUUCCGAGGGGCAUGCCUGUUCGAGCGUCAUUACACCACUCAAGCUAUGCUUGGUAUUGGGCGUCGUCCUUAGUUGGGCGCGCCUUAAAGACCUCGGCGAAGCCACUCCGGCUUUAGGCGUAGUAGAAUUUAUUCGAACGUCUGUCAAAGGAGAGGAACUCUGCCGACUGAAACCUUUAUUUUUCUAGGUUGACCUCGGAUCAGGUAGGGAUACCCGCUGAACUUAAGCAUAUCAAUAAGCGGAGGA